CAGCAGCCGCGGGAAUACGUAGGGUGCGAGCGUUAAUCGGAAUUACUGGGCGUAAAGCGUGCGCAGGCGGUUCGUUAAGACAGAUGUGAAAUCCCCGGGCUUAACCUGGGAACUGCAUUUGUGACUGGCGAGCUAGAGUAUGGCAGAGGGGGGUAGAAUUCCACGUGUAGCAGUGAAAUGCGUAGAGAUGUGGAGGAAUACCGAUGGCGAAGGCAGCCCCCUGGGCCAAUACUGACGCUCAUGCACGAAAGCGUGGGGAGCAAACAGGAUUAGAUACCCCAGUAGUCCCUGUCUUUAUACA
This 301-nucleotide ribosomal RNA is filed under the name uncultured bacterium. RNAcentral describes it as "partial 16S ribosomal RNA". It matches the Rfam family "Bacterial small subunit ribosomal RNA", at positions 509 to 809 of the family's 1533-position model. The record is from RNAcentral.